Molecule: transfer RNA, 73 nt
Filed under: Araneus ventricosus
Lineage: Eukaryota; Metazoa; Arthropoda; Arachnida; Araneae; Araneidae
Description: tRNA-Val
Source: RNAcentral
GUUCCCAUGGUGUAGUGGUUAUCACAUCCGCCUAACACGCGGAAGGUCCCAGGUUCGACACCUGGUGGGAACA